AACGAACGCUGGCGGCAUGCCUAACACAUGCAAGUCGAACGAGACCUUCGGGUCUAGUGGCGCACGGGUGCGUAACGCGUGGGAACCUGCCCUUAGGUUCGGAAUAACUCCCCGAAAGGGGUGCUAAUACCGGAUAAUGUCUUCGGACCAAAGAUUUAUCGCCUUUGGAUGGGCCCGCGUUGGAUUAGCUAGUUGGUAGGGUAAAAGCCUACCAAGGCGACGAUCCAUAGCUGGUCUGAGAGGAUGAUCAGCCACACUGGGACUGAGACACGGCCCAGACUCCUACGGGAGGCAGCAGUGGGGAAUAUUGGACAAUGGGCGAAAGCCUGAUCCAGCAAUGCCGCGUGAGUGAUGAAGGCCUUAGGGUUGUAAAGCUCUUUUACCCGGGAUGAUAAUGACAGUACCGGGGGAAUAAGCUCCGGCUAACUCCGU
This 432-nucleotide ribosomal RNA is filed under the name uncultured bacterium. RNAcentral describes it as "partial 16S ribosomal RNA". It matches the Rfam family "Bacterial small subunit ribosomal RNA", at positions 29 to 506 of the family's 1533-position model. The record is from RNAcentral.